GAUGAACGCUGGCGGCGUGCCUAAUACAUGCAAGUCGAGCGAACGGACGAGAAGCUUGCUUUUCUGAUGUUAGCGGCGGACGGGUGAGUAACACGUGGAUAACCUACCUAUAAGACUGGGAUAACUUCGGGAAACCGGAGCUAAUACCGGAUAAUAUUUUGAACCGCAUGGUUCAAAAGUGAAAGACGGUCUUGCUGUCACUUAUAGAUGGAUCCGCGCUGCAUUAGCUAGUUGGUAAGGUAACGGCUUACCAAGGCAACGAUGCAUAGCCGACCUGAGAGGGUGAUCGGCCACACUGGAACUGAGACACGGUCCAGACUCCUACGGGAGGCAGCAGUAGGGAAUCUUCCGCAAUGGGCGAAAGCCUGACGGAGCAACGCCGCGUGAGUGAUGAAGGUCUUCGGAUCGUAAAACUCUGUUAUUAGUGAAGAACAUAUGUGUAAGUAACUGUGCACAGCUUGACGGUACCUAAUCAGAAAGCCACGGCUAACUACGUG
RNAcentral lists this ribosomal RNA (497 nucleotides) under uncultured bacterium. RNAcentral's name for it is "partial 16S ribosomal RNA". It matches the Rfam family "Bacterial small subunit ribosomal RNA", at positions 28 to 507 of the family's 1533-position model. The record is from RNAcentral.